Molecule: small RNA, 555 nt
Filed under: Pongo abelii (Sumatran orangutan)
Lineage: Eukaryota; Metazoa; Chordata; Mammalia; Primates; Hominidae
Description: processed transcript
Source: RNAcentral
AGCUUUGCCCGAGGCCUCUGGGCUUCAUGCAGGAGGAGGAGAUCCCUGAACAAAAUCAACCCCAUUUUGCAAACAAGGAAGCUGAAUCUACAGAGAGGUCAGAUGAUUUGCCUACAUUUAUUUUUCUAGUUGCUGAACGGCUGAUGACCAUCGCCUAUGAAAGUGGUGUUAACCUCUUUGAUACUGCCGAAGUCUAUGCUGCUGGAAAGGCUGAAGUGAUUCUGGGGAGCAUCAUCAAGAAGAAAGGCUGGAGGAGGUCCAGUCUGGUCAUAACAACCAAACUCUACUGGGGUGGAAAAGCUGAAACAGAAAGAGGGCUGUCAAGAAAGCAUAUUAUUGAAGUAAAUUCUUGAAAGAAACCAAACUUCAACUCUGAAUAGUGCUCAUAUUUCGAUUUUGGGGUUUGUUUCCUGUUUCUGCUCCCAGGAUUGAAGGGUUCCCUCCAGAGGCUGCAGCUCGAGUAUGUGGAUGUGGUCUUUGCAAAUCGACCAGACAGUAACACUCCCAUGGAAGAAAUUGUCCGAGCCAUGACACAUGUGAUAAACCAAGGCAUGG